Molecule: ribosomal RNA, 440 nt
Filed under: uncultured bacterium
Lineage: Bacteria
Description: partial 16S ribosomal RNA
Rfam family: Bacterial small subunit ribosomal RNA
Source: RNAcentral
CCUACGGGAGGCAGCAGUGGGGAAUAUUGCACAAUGGGGGAAACCCUGAUGCAGCGACGCCGCGUGAGAGAAGAAGUAUUUCGGUAUGUAAAGCUCUAUCAGCAGGGAAGAAAAUGACGGUACCUGAGUAAGAAGCCCCGGCUAACUACGUGCCAGCAGCCGCGGUAAUACGUAGGGGGCACGCGUUAUCCGGAUUUACUGGGUGUAAAGGGAGCGUAGACGGCAGUGCAAGUCUGGAGUGAAAGGCGGGGGCUCAACCCCCGGACUGCUCUGGAAACUGUACGGCUGGAGUGCAGGAGAGGUAAGUGGAAUUCCGGGUGUAGCGGGGAAAUGCGUAGAUAUUAGGAGGAACACCAGUGGCGAAGGCGGCUUACUGGACUGUAACUGACGUUGAGGCUCGAAAGCGUGGGGAGCAAACAGGAUUAGAUACCCUAGUAGUC